CGUUGAAACACUGGUUUCCGUACGAUCACUGUAGUUGAGCAACGUAGAGCCUAGUCAGUAGCUAGAUGGGGAACCUCUUGGGAAUACAAGUUGCU
Molecule: non-coding RNA, 95 nt
Organism: Acanthosepion pharaonis
Lineage: Eukaryota; Metazoa; Mollusca; Cephalopoda; Sepiida; Sepiidae
Source: the annotation of a GenBank genome assembly